UUUAUUAAAUUUUUAUCCUAGAUUAAACUUUAACUUUUAUUUUUUGUGCAUGGAAUAAAAUAUAAACCGUAAAAACCAGUACCCAAAUUUUUUAAAAUUUAAAUUCUUUAAAAAGAAUUAAAAUAUUAGUUAAUUAUGUGCCAGCAACUGCGGUCACACAUAAAAUAAAAAAGUUUAUCGGAAUUUGUAGUUAGAAAAAUGAAAGAAUAAAAUUUUUUAAUAUUUGGGUCAUAUCUUAAUUAAAAAAACUUAAUUCUUAAAAUUUUUGAGUCUAUAAAAACUUUUAUAAAAGAAAAGGAUUUGAUACCCUAUUAUAGAGUAUAAAAAAAUUAUCCAGAGUAUUACUAGAACUCUAUAAACUCAAAGGAAAUGGCUGUAUUACCAAGUCUUAGGGAUACUUGAUUGUUUAAAUUAUGUAAAUACCCAAAGACCUUACUUUUUAUUUAAUUAAACCUCUAUAUCUCCGUUUAAAAAUGUUAACAAAAGAUUUCAUUGUAAUUUUCUAAAAUUAUAAAAUUAUAAUAUAAAUUUUAUUAAUUUUAUAAAAAUAAUUCAGGUCAAGGCAGAGUUUAAAAAGAACAAUUGAGUAUCAUUGUUGUUAAAGGAAUCCAAAUAUUAUUAAAAUAAUAAAAAAAGAGAACUUAAAAGUAAGUAUUUAAUAUAAAAAAAUACUGAAAUACUCAAGGUUAUAAGUACAAAUCGCCCGUCACUCUCGACCAAAUUUGAGAUAAGUCGUAACAAAGUAAGUGUAUCGGAAGAUGCCCUUAGAAAAAUAAUUUAAUUAUAAAAUUAUUUAUCAA
RNAcentral lists this non-coding RNA (800 nucleotides) under Aptinothrips stylifer. Lineage: Eukaryota; Metazoa; Arthropoda; Insecta; Thysanoptera; Thripidae. The record is from RNAcentral.